Molecule: ribosomal RNA, 468 nt
Filed under: uncultured bacterium
Lineage: Bacteria
Description: partial 16S ribosomal RNA
Rfam family: Bacterial small subunit ribosomal RNA
Source: RNAcentral
GACGAACGCUGGCGGCGUGCUUAACACAUGCAAGUCGAACGGAAAGGCCCUGCUUUGGUGGGGUGCGCGAGUGGCGAACGGGUGAGUAACACGGGAGUAACCUGCCCUGGACUUUGGGAUAACGUCAGGAAACUGGGGCUAAUACCGGAUAGGAGCUCCUGCUGCAGGGUGGUGGUUGGAAAGUUUCGGCGGUUGGGGAUGGACUCGCGGCUUAUCAGCUUGUUGGUGGGGGAGUGGCUUACCAAGGCUUUGAAGGGUAGCCGGCCUGAGAGGGUGGCCGGCGCCAUUGGGACUGAGAGACGGCCCAGACUGCUACGGGAGGCAGCAGGGGAGAAUAUUGUACAAUGGGCGGAAGCCUGAUGCAGCAACGCCGCGUGUGGGAUGAAGGUCUUCGGGUUGUAAAACGCAUUCGCCUGUGACGAAGCGUGAGUGACGGUAAUGGGUAAAGAAGCACCGGCUAACUACGUG